GGUAGCAUGGCCGAGCGGUCUAAGGCGCUGGUUUAAGGCACCAGUCAUUUCGAUGGCUUGGGUUCGAAUCCCACUGCUGCCA
Molecule: non-coding RNA, 82 nt
Organism: Ciona savignyi (Pacific transparent sea squirt)
Lineage: Eukaryota; Metazoa; Chordata; Ascidiacea; Phlebobranchia; Cionidae
Source: Rfam